UGGGGAAUAUUGCACAAUGGACGGAAGUUUGAUGCAGCGACGCCGCGUGGAGGGUGUAGGCCUUCGGGUUGUGAACUCCUUUUUCUCGCGAAAAAGGCACAGUUUUGGCUGUGUUGAUGGUAGUGGGGGAAGAAGCGCCGGCUAACUACGUGCCAGCAGCCGCGGUAAUACGUAGGGCGCGAGCGUUGUCCGGAUUUAUUGGGCGUAAAGAGCUCGUAGGUGGUUCGUCGCGUCUGUCGUGAAAGCCAGCAGCUUAACUGUUGGUCUGCGGUGGGUACGGGCGGGCUUGAGUGCGGUAGGGGUGACUGGAAUUCCUGGUGUAGCAGUGGAAUGCGCAGAUAUCAGGAGGAACACCGAUGGCGAAGGCAGGUCACUGGGCCGUUACUGACACUGAGGAGCGAAAGCGUGGGGAGCGAACAGG
This 421-nucleotide ribosomal RNA is filed under the name Fusobacteriota bacterium. RNAcentral's name for it is "Fusobacteria bacterium partial 16S ribosomal RNA". It matches the Rfam family "Bacterial small subunit ribosomal RNA", at positions 355 to 776 of the family's 1533-position model. Lineage: Bacteria; Fusobacteriati; Fusobacteriota. The record is from RNAcentral.